UACAGAGGUCCCAAGCGUUGUUCGGAAUCACUGGGCUUAAAGGGCGCGUAGGCGGGUGCUCAAGUCUGUGGUGAAAUCCUCCGGCUCAACCGGAGAACGGCCAUGGAUACUGGGUGUCUCGAGGGUGAUAGGGGUAUGCGGAACUAUCGGUGGAGCGGUGAAAUGCGUUGAUAUCGAUAGGAACUCCGGUGGCGAAGGCGGCAUACUGGAUCACUUCUGACGCUGAGGCGCGAAAGCCAGGGGAGCGAACGGG
Molecule: ribosomal RNA, 253 nt
Filed under: uncultured bacterium
Lineage: Bacteria
Description: partial 16S ribosomal RNA
Rfam family: Bacterial small subunit ribosomal RNA
Source: RNAcentral